RNAcentral lists this ribosomal RNA (417 nucleotides) under uncultured bacterium. RNAcentral describes it as "bacterial SSU rRNA". It matches the Rfam family "Bacterial small subunit ribosomal RNA", at positions 1000 to 1414 of the family's 1533-position model. The record is from RNAcentral.
CCUGAAAGGGCGGGGUGCCCGCAAGGGAGCGUGGAGACAGGUGGUGCAUGGCUGUCGUCAGCUCGUGUCGUGAGAUGUUGGGUUAAGUCCCGCAACGAGCGCAACCCUCACCCCUAGUUGCCACCGGGUAAUGCCGAGCACUCGAGGGGAACUGCCAGCGUCAAGCUGGAGGAAGGCGGGGAUGACGUCAAGUCAUCAUGCCCCUUACGCCCUGGGCUACACACGUGCUACAAUGGCCAGUACAAAGGGAUGCGGGACCGCGAGGUGGAGCUAAUCCCAAAAAGCUGGUCUAAGUUCAGAUUGCAGUCUGCAACUCGACUGCAUGAAGGAGGAAUCGCUAGUAAUCGCGCAUCAGCACGGCGCGGUGAAUACGUUCCCGGGCCUUGUACACACCGCCCAUCACACCACGAAAGCUUA